This 400-nucleotide long non-coding RNA is filed under the name Oryza brachyantha (malo sina). RNAcentral describes it as "long non-coding RNA (OBRA_LNC000539)". The record is from RNAcentral. Lineage: Eukaryota; Viridiplantae; Streptophyta; Magnoliopsida; Poales; Poaceae.
UCUUCUGCUAAAAAUAUAAUAAUAUUUUUUCUAUAAAAUUAGUUAAAUUAAAGAAGUUUGACUUUGAAAAAAAGUCAAACAACUUCUAACAUAAAACAGAGUGGAACAGAGUGGGUUAAUAAUUAAUACCGGUGUUGGUUUGUCUUUGUUCACCACUCGUGCUUUGAUUAUUUUUAUCCUGUGAGUUGGAGCAGGAUCGAAACAAAUCCUGGUCAUUCAUAUAAGAGCAUCUCUAAUAGCAUGGCUAUUUGACUCUCUAAACUAAAAUUUGACCAUUCUACCUAAAAUUUUAUCUAAAAUUUAUACUUCAUGACCAAAUCAUUCGGCUGGCCAAACUCACUGGGAGUGGCCAAACGUGGGUCCCGCAUGGGAAGUACCAGUGCGACCACCCAGGAUGACG